RNAcentral lists this ribosomal RNA (442 nucleotides) under Kodamaea ohmeri. RNAcentral's name for it is "eukaryotic LSU rRNA". It matches the Rfam family "Eukaryotic large subunit ribosomal RNA", at positions 41 to 469 of the family's 3401-position model. Lineage: Eukaryota; Fungi; Ascomycota; Pichiomycetes; Serinales; Debaryomycetaceae. The record is from RNAcentral.
UAUUUAAUAAGCGGAGGAAAAGAAACCAACAGGGAUUGCCUCAGUAACGGCGAGUGAAGCGGCAAAAGCUCAAAUUUGAAAUCCCCCCGGGGAGUUGUAAUUUGAAGAUUGCGUCUUGGAGGCGACCGUGUCUAUGUUCCUUGGAACAGGACGUCACAGAGGGUGAGAAUCCCGUGCGGCACGGCCCCCGGCUCCUUAUAAGGCGCUCUCGACGAGUCGAGUUGUUUGGGAAUGCAGCUCAAAGUGGGUGGUAAAUUCCAUCUAAAGCUAAAUACAGGCGAGAGACCGAUAGCGAACAAGUACAGUGAUGGAAAGAUGAAAAGCACUUUGAAAAGAGAGUGAAACAGCACGUGAAAUUGUUGAAAGGGAAGGGCAUGCCGUCAGAUUGUCAGUGUGGGUAAGAAGCGGGGUACAAAGACUGUGGAACGUGGCCCUCGGGUGU